This 498-nucleotide ribosomal RNA is filed under the name uncultured bacterium. RNAcentral describes it as "bacterial SSU rRNA". It matches the Rfam family "Bacterial small subunit ribosomal RNA", at positions 15 to 507 of the family's 1533-position model. The record is from RNAcentral.
GAUCAUGGCUCAGGAUGAACGCUAGCGGCAGGCCUAACACAUGCAAGUCGAGGGGCAGCACGUCUUCGGAUGGUGGCGACCGGCGCACGGGUGCGUAACGCGUAUGCAACCUACCUCUUACAGUGGGAUAGGCCCAGAGAAAAUUUGGAUUAAUACCGCAUAGUAUACAGAUUCGAGCAUUGGGACUGUAUUAAACAUUUAUGGGUAAGAGAUGGGCAUGCGUUCUAUUAGUUAGUUGGAGUGGUAACGGCACCCCAAGACAGCGAUAGAUAGGGGCCCUGAGAGGGGGAUCCCCCCACACUGGUACUGAGACACGGACCAGACUCCUACGGGAGGCAGCAGUGAGGAAUAUUGGACAAUGGGCGAGAGCCCUGAUCCAGCCAUGCCGCGUGCAGGAAGACGGCCCUAUGGGUUGUAAACUGCUUUUGUACGGGAAGAAACACCCCCUCGUGAGGGGGCUUGACGGUACCGUAAGAAUAAGGAUCGGCUAACUCCGUG